This 510-nucleotide ribosomal RNA is filed under the name uncultured bacterium. RNAcentral describes it as "bacterial SSU rRNA". It matches the Rfam family "Bacterial small subunit ribosomal RNA", at positions 15 to 518 of the family's 1533-position model. The record is from RNAcentral.
GAUCAUGGCUCAGGAUGAACGCUAGCGGCAGGCUUAACACAUGCAAGUCGAGGGGCAGCGGGAUGUAGCAAUACAUUGCCGGCGACCGGCGGAUGGGUGCGUAACGCGUAUGCAACCUACCUUAUACAGGGGAAUAACCUUUCGAAAGGGAGACUAACACCCCAUGGUAUUGAUUUAAGGCAUCUUAGAUUAAUUAAAUAUUUAUAGGUAUAAGAUGGGCAUGCGUAUGAUUAGCUAGUUGGUAAGGUAACGGCUUACCAAGGCGACGAUCAUUAGGGGUUCUGAGAGGAAGGUCCCCCACACUGGUACUGAGACACGGACCAGACUCCUACGGGAGGCAGCAGUGAGGAAUAUUGGUCAAUGGGCGCAAGCCUGAACCAGCCAUGCCGCGUGCAGGAAGACGGCCUUAUGGGUUGUAAACUGCUUUUACAUAAGACUAACCGUAUAUUUGCGAAUAUACCUGAAUGUAUUAUGAGAAUAAGGAUCGGCUAACUCCGUGCCAGCCGCCGC